UACGUAGGUGGCAAGCGUUGUCCGGAAUUACUGGGUGUAAAGGGAGCGCAGGCGGGUGAUCAAGUCAGCUGUGAAAACUACGGGCUUAACCCGUAGACUGCAGUUGAAACUGUUCAUCUUGAGUGAAGUAGAGGUUGGCGGAAUUCCGAGUGUAGCGGUGAAAUGCGUAGAUAUUCGGAGGAACACCGGUGGCGAAGGCGGCCAACUGGGCUUUAACUGACGCUGAGGCUCGAAAGUGUGGGGAGCAAACAGG
This 253-nucleotide ribosomal RNA is filed under the name Eubacterium coprostanoligenes. RNAcentral describes it as "partial 16S ribosomal RNA". It matches the Rfam family "Bacterial small subunit ribosomal RNA", at positions 524 to 776 of the family's 1533-position model. Lineage: Bacteria; Bacillati; Bacillota; Clostridia; Eubacteriales; Eubacteriaceae. RNAcentral also lists the same sequence under 2 other names. The record is from RNAcentral.